GCGCAUGUGGCGUAAUUGGUAGCCGCGCCAGACUUAGGAUCUGGUGCCGCAAGGCGUGGGGGUUCGAGUCCCUCCAUGCGCA
RNAcentral lists this transfer RNA (82 nucleotides) under Chitinophagaceae bacterium. RNAcentral's name for it is "tRNA-Leu". It matches the Rfam family "tRNA". Rfam says of the family: Transfer RNA (tRNA) molecules are approximately 80 nucleotides in length. Their secondary structure includes four short double-helical elements and three loops (D, anti-codon, and T loops). The record is from RNAcentral. RNAcentral also lists the same sequence under 1 other name. Lineage: Bacteria; Pseudomonadati; Bacteroidota; Chitinophagia; Chitinophagales; Chitinophagaceae.